UUGACCUCGGAUCCAGG
This 17-nucleotide ribosomal RNA is filed under the name Magnaporthiopsis meyeri-festucae. RNAcentral describes it as "partial 28S ribosomal RNA". The record is from RNAcentral. Lineage: Eukaryota; Fungi; Ascomycota; Sordariomycetes; Magnaporthales; Magnaporthaceae.